UACGGAGGGUGCGAGCGUUGUCCGGAAUCACUGGGCGUAAAGGGUCCGUAGGUGGCCAACUAAGUCAGACGUGAAAUCCCUCAGCUUAACUGGGGAACUGCGUCUGAGACUGGAUGGCUUGAGUGCAGGAGAGGAAUGCGGAAUUCCAGGUGUAGCGGUGAAAUGUGUAGAUAUCUGGAGGAACACCGGUGGCGAAGGCGGCAUUCUGGACUGCAACUGACACUGAACGACGAAAGCCAGGGGAGCAAACGGG
This 253-nucleotide ribosomal RNA is filed under the name uncultured bacterium. Its description in RNAcentral is "partial 16S ribosomal RNA". It matches the Rfam family "Bacterial small subunit ribosomal RNA", at positions 524 to 776 of the family's 1533-position model. The record is from RNAcentral.